Molecule: ribosomal RNA, 279 nt
Filed under: uncultured bacterium
Lineage: Bacteria
Description: partial 16S ribosomal RNA
Rfam family: Bacterial small subunit ribosomal RNA
Source: RNAcentral
UGCCAGCCGCCGCGGUAAUACGGAGGGCGCAAGCGUUAAUCGGAUUCAUUGGGUGUAAAGGGCGCGUAGGCGGGAAGGUAAGUCAGAUGUGAAAGCCCGGAGCUUAACUCCGGAAUUGCAUCUGAAACUACUUUUCUUGAGGAUAGGCGGAGAAAACGGAAUUCCACGUGUAGCGGUGAAAUGCGUAGAUAUGUGGAAGAACACCGGUGGCGAAGGCGGUUUUCUAGCUUAUUCCUGACGCUCAGGCGCGAAAGCAAGGGGAGCGAACAGGAUUAGAUA